Molecule: ribosomal RNA, 458 nt
Filed under: uncultured microorganism
Description: bacterial SSU rRNA
Rfam family: Bacterial small subunit ribosomal RNA
Source: RNAcentral
GCGCACCAGUCGCGAAUAGUCUACAAUGGACGAAAGUCUGAUAGUGCGACGCCGUGUGUGCGAUUAAUUCCUUCGGGAUGUAAAGCACUUUUCUAUGAGAUAAAAGCUCUUUAGGUUAAUAGCUUAUUGAGACGGAUAUUAUUAUAGGAAUAAGCUCCGGCUAACUCCGUGCCAGCAGCCGCGGUAAUACGGAAGGAGCGAGCGUUGUCCGGAUUUACUAGGCGUAAAGGGCUAGUAGGCGACUAAUUAAGUUAUAUGUUAAAUCCCACGGCUCAACUGUGGUCCUGCAUGUAAUACUGGUUAGAUAGAGUACUGUAGAGGAAGGCAGAAUUCCUGGAGUAGCGGUGGAAUGCGCAGAUAUCAGGAAGAAUACCAAAAGCGAAGGCAGCCUUCUGGGCAGUUACUGACGCUGAAUAGCGAAGGUGUGGGUAGCGAACAGGAUUAGAUACCCCGGUAGU